CUGUGCCUGGCUCCCUGUAUGCCACUCGUGUGGGCGCCAAUCUAUCGAGACUGGCGACUGCGGCUGGCGUGCGAGGAGCCAAGCAUAU
This 88-nucleotide microRNA precursor is filed under the name Musa balbisiana (Balbis banana). RNAcentral's name for it is "mir-160 microRNA precursor family". It matches the Rfam family "mir-160 microRNA precursor family". Rfam says of the family: The hairpin precursors (represented here) are predicted based on base pairing and cross-species conservation -- their extents are not known. In this case the mature sequence is excised from the 5' arm of the hairpin. RNAcentral also lists the same sequence under 1 other name. Lineage: Eukaryota; Viridiplantae; Streptophyta; Magnoliopsida; Zingiberales; Musaceae. The record is from Rfam by way of RNAcentral.